Molecule: ribosomal RNA, 468 nt
Filed under: uncultured bacterium
Lineage: Bacteria
Description: partial 16S ribosomal RNA
Rfam family: Bacterial small subunit ribosomal RNA
Source: RNAcentral
GACGAACGCUGGCGGCGUGCUUAACACAUGCGAGUCGAACGGAAAGGCCCUGCUUUUGUGGGGUGCUCGAGUGGCGAACGGGUGAGUAACACGUGAGUAACCUGCCCUUGACUUUGGGAUAACUUCAGGAAACUGGGGCUAAUACCGGAUAGGAGCUCCUGCUGCAUGGUGGGGGUUGGAAAGUUUCGGCGGUUGGGGAUGGACUCGCGGCUUAUCAGCUUGUUGGUGGGGUAGUGGCUUUCCAAGGCUUUGACGGGUAACCGGCCUGAGAGGGUGACCGGCCACAUUGGGACUGAGAUACGGCCCAGACUCCUACGGGAGGCAGCAGUGGGGAAUAUUGCACAAUGGGCGGAAGCCUGAUGCAGCAACGCCGCGUGCGGGAUGACGGCCUUCGGGUUGUAAACCGCUUUCGCCUGUGACGAAGCGUGAGUGACGGUAAUGGGUAAAGAAGCACCGGCUAACUACGUG